AUCGAAGUUUACUAGGGUUCCGCCGGCAGCAAGCCGGGGCUGGUCCGAGAGUAAACCGCCCUGCGGCCAGCCGCGCGGCGACACGGAAGGAUAAAAACCUGGGAGAU
This 107-nucleotide small RNA is filed under the name Paenibacillus mucilaginosus. RNAcentral's name for it is "Guanidine-I sequence". It matches the Rfam family "Guanidine-I riboswitch aptamer". From Rfam's summary of the family: This family represents a conserved RNA structure found upstream of the ykkC and yxkD genes in Bacillus subtilis and related genes in other bacteria. Lineage: Bacteria; Bacillati; Bacillota; Bacilli; Caryophanales; Paenibacillaceae. RNAcentral also lists the same sequence under 1 other name. The record is from RNAcentral.